This is a long non-coding RNA of Alnus glutinosa, 1860 nucleotides long. RefSeq lists it as uncharacterized. The record is from RefSeq and is a predicted model, not a curated record. Lineage: Eukaryota; Viridiplantae; Streptophyta; Magnoliopsida; Fagales; Betulaceae. The transcript has 5 exons.
ACUGACAACCUUAAACCCUGCCCCUUCCAAUUAUCAUGAUUUUGAAGCUCGAAAGCUUUCCCUCAAGAAAAUCACUCUCUCUCAUUGCCUCGAGCUUUACUCUGCAAUUUGUGUGGUUGUUAUCUAUGCUCAAAGAUGAUGCCUUUCUACAAUUCCUUUCCAACCACUCCUCCUCCUCCUCAACAGGUUAUGCCAUCUAAUCCUUCCCUUGUAAAUUCGUUUAAUUUAGUGCAAAAUCCUAUGCAAUUUCAACCCCAUUUUGGCAUGAGCAUUACUCAAGUGCUCUUCAGUAACUCCAAAUUUCCAAUGCCCACUUGAGCCCCAAUGUGCGGCUUUCCAUAACUCAACCUGGUUUCGUGAAUGGACCUGCCCAUCUUCUUCCCUUCCAAAAUACUCAUCUGGGUUCUCAACCGGGUCAGUCCCUUUUGGGGCUUGGUCUAUAGAACAGUGUAUGCAAUAGGAACACGGUUGCAGGGUUUCUAGGUAAUGCACAAUUUUGCAAUUUUCCGCAGAAUGCUAAUCAACUCAAUGUGUCUCAGCCUCCUUUUGUGCAUAAUUUUCCAAAUUUACCUCAACAACUCAAUCAGAACAUGGUUUUGCCGAAUGGACAGUACGGUUUUCCAAAUAGGAACCAACUUGCGCCCUUGCAAAUGCCAACUUCUUCUCAAGUUGGUCCUUACGGUAUCCCUCCCUAUCUAUUGGGUGGUCUGAAUCAACUACCUCAGGCCACGGUUCCUCAAAAUCCCAACUUCAUGGCAAAUCUGAAGUUUGGUCUUGUACAUUGCAAUCAGGUUGGGCAGCAAGGUAAUCAGAAUCAACAAAACUUGGCUCCACCUACAACGGAUGCAAAUGCAUUAAAACCAUCACCUAUUGCGGCUCCUCAAUUGCAAGGGAACUCAUCUGCGCCACUCAAUCAUUGUCCAGUUCAACCCAGCAGUCUAAGGACUUGCAAACUUCUGUUUUCACAAGGUCACCGGUACUUUUAUGUUGCACUCUCCACAUGAAUUGUUGGGCAGAUUAUUUCUUUGGGAAAGAAUCCUUUUAAGAAUGGUGGGAUUAAUGCUGCAAGCUCCAACUGGAAAAAUUCACCAAGCAAAAACUUCACAAUGAAUCCAAAAAGAGGGGAACCACAACAGGGUUAUGUAUUUUUUUUUUGGAUUACUUUUGUUUCCAUCAUUUUACUUUCAAAACUUUGGACUGGUUGCUUACAGUUUAAAAUCAUAUGUGGAUCUCAGAAGUCUCAGUUUCAUCAUAUGAAAAAUGAAAAGAGAAAGUUUGGGUUUCCUAAUGAACUGAAGGGCAAAGAAGCAAAUUGAGAAGCUAGCAGACUCUGAAGUCAGUGAUAGAGAGGCCAAACUAUGAAAAGUGCAACUCAAGGAGAUUCUAGCAAAGUAGGCUGAAUUGGGAGUUGAAGUUACAGAAGUACCAUCAUACUAUCUCUAAGAUUCAGAGAAGCAUGGGCAUGGAAGGGAAGGGAAUAGAAGGCCGUUGACUAAGGAGAGAUUCCAAAACAAGUUUAAUAAAAGAGGAAGAUAUGACAAAAAAGACCGGUUUGCCAAGAAGCAUAGGUUAGCAGACAAGGAUUCAUCGAACAUCAGUUCUUUGAACAAGAGAAAGCCAACACUAUUGCAGAAACUUCUGAGUGCCGAUAUAGGUAGAUACAAAAGCCACUUGUUGCAGGUUUUUAGGUUCAAGGAUAUCUUGCGCUUCCAUGCGGUUUACUGGCCAGCUAUGCUAAUGUCUGCAGGACUAAGCCUUCCUAAGAUGGUGUUUGGCCAUGGAUUUUUGACAAAGGUAUUUGAACUCAUUGUACAUUUCAUUUUUUUUUCCCUCUACAGCUAGACAUAUAAUUUCUCCGCU